CGUAGGGUGCGAGCGUUGUCCGGGAAUUAUAGGGCGUAAAGAGCUCGUAGGCGGUUUGUCGCGUCGACUGUGGAAACCCCGAGGCUUAACCUCGGGCCUGCAGUCGAUACGGGCAGACUAGAGUUCGGUAGGGGAGACUGGAAUUCCUGGUGUAGCGGUGAAAUGCGCAGAUAUCAGGAGGAACACCGGUGGCGAAGGCGGGUCUCUGGGCCGAUACUGACGCUGAGGAGCGAAAGCGGUGGGGAGCGAACAGGAUUAGAUACCCUGGUAGUCCACGCCGUAAACGUUGGGCGCUAGGUGUGGGGACCUUCCACGGUCUCCCGUGCCGCAGCUAACGCAUUAAGCGCCCCGCCUGGGGAGUACGGCCGCAAGGCUA
Molecule: ribosomal RNA, 376 nt
Filed under: uncultured organism
Description: bacterial SSU rRNA
Rfam family: Bacterial small subunit ribosomal RNA
Source: RNAcentral